GGGGAUACAUAUGACUCCUCCAUUGUCCAUCCUCUGCAGGAAAACCCUCUGUGGAAAGGGUGCUGGAUCCAGUUAUCUUACUGCUGUUAUGAUCCCAGCAGUCUUCAGAGUGUCAUCGUAUGCACAGUACAGUGACACAGCAUUGGAUGAUGUUCACAGGAAACUGCUGUCAUCACCACCAUAGCUUCUGGUUCCUGUGCUUUUCACAGAAUCAUGAUGCCAUCCUUGGACUCCCCCUGCGCUGUCGGUGGAGCUUGGCACGCUCCCCUCAUCCUUCAGGUGCCCGUCUGUUGUCCACAAUCUCCUCUGUUGGCCUCUGGAAAGCCCCUUGGCACAGCUCUCAUCCUUCGCAGCAACCGUGGUCCUUGCUGUGGCUCCGACGUCUGAUCUCAUGAUGGGCCCCAAACAGCUCGACCUUUGACCUCAACCACUGCCCGGACUGUCAGCUAUGCCUGGAAUGGGUUGCUUCUCACUGGGCCUCAGAAGAUUUCUCAGGAGAUUCCUUUCAGCAAUACUCUGACUGCUGCACCUGUAUUUCCUUGCUAGGAGGAAAAACUCCUAUUUUGAAAGCAUGUAAAGCAUCAUCAAACCACAUUCUUUAGUUCAGUGAGCUUCAUUUAUGGACCAUCAAAGCCUCAUCUGAACACAGAUGCACCACUUGCAUAGGUUUAAUACCCGUCUGAACUGUUAAUCACAAAGAUCACACAAAAAUCAUAAAAACAUAGUUCAGAAAACAUGGAAAACAUAGUUUCAUGUAACUCUGUAAUUCUGGACCCCUCCUCUUGACGCAUGGACACUCCCAUGAGUCAACUCAUCAAACCUAGAUUUCUGUCUAAAAGAAAAAGGUUAGCUAGAUCAUGUCCCAGGCAACAUCAGGGCAUCUCCCCCUCUGGAGCAGCACCACCCCGGACCUAUAACCCUGCAAUAAAAGAUGUUAGUGUGUUUUGCAUAAUAAGUUUGCUUCACAUCUGGCUCCGCCUGGAGCCUGCAUACACACCAUCAUGGCCUGGAAAACAAGAUCUGGAAGUAAAAUCAAACUUCACACUUAUAAACAAUUGUAUCAUUAGAGUAAUAAAGCACUCAGCAUCAACAGGACAAGAAUCAUGUGCAGGUUUUCUCAAAUCAGUAAACUACAAUUAUUGCCAUAAUUUGCCUCAGACAUGGAUCAUCCCAUGUACUCAGUUAACAUUAAUGUAAUUGGUGACUUCCCUGAAGCAAAGUCACUCCAUGUAUUUAACACUAGGAGCUCAGUAGUGGCCAGCUAAUGAGCCCCAUAUCAAACUAUUCCACAAACACUGCAUCUCUUAGUUGCUUUCUCAUGUUACUUGUCCGUCUCUGCUGAAUCCUCUACAUGCACUCUUAGACAAACAAACAUUAGCAACACACAUGGACAAUCCUGGUGGUCAGGCACAAAUUGACAGGGUCCAGAGGUGCUAUAAAACGACCAUAAAGACCAUAGCUGUGGACAGAAGUGGCACUAGUUUCAACACAGGGAAUGUUUUACAUGUUAUUCACAUCGUCAAAGUAACCUUUAACAUUUUCCCAACAACACAGUGUAACAGCAUCACCAACUCAUAACCUGUAAACGCAGUUUUCUUCACACGUGAACCCAGAAAUCCUGUAGUAGAAGACAUCAACCAGCUAUCCUGGUAUAAAUCACAUGAUCAAAUCACAUGAAGAACUGUAAUGCUGUAGAAAUGUUAGCGCUGCGCAGGUGUAUACACACUUUCUCACAGUCACCUCUGUGAACAACACAAGGUAGUGAAUGACACCCCUGGUAGAUGCACAGACACAGAAAGUGGCAUUUAAAAGGUUAAAUCAUCAUGCAACCUCGAAUGUUGCUGUCAUCUUUCUGCUCCUGUAAAAAGAAACACACAUAGAUUCAUCUGCACCUUUGUCAGGUGGGGGUUAACUUCGCACAGUGAUGUCAGUCAGUCUGUCAGCUUCUGUCCGCUUUUACCAGUCAGUCAGUUUUAUUUUCUCUCCCUCAUUCAUUCAUGCAUUCAUUCGUUCUUUGCUGACAGUGGGAAUUAUUGUCGCAUUUUCAUUUCCACUUCUCAGCAAAAUGACGUCAUUUCAAAAAGAAAAGAAUUUAAACUGGAUUUUCUCGUUGAAUCCUUUUGGACAGGAACUUAUUUUCUAAUUGUCCCAGAUAAGUGACUUCCUCCUGAGCCCAUUUUAAUGUGGAGAAACUCACUUGCAACAAUUUUCUCGACGACGCGUCGUAUAGCGCUUCUGUUCUAAUCGUGCAGAUCUGCUCAAACAGAGAUCAUCAAACAAAACUUUCAGUGCACUGUGAAAGUAUCAAAAUAAAAAGGCCUCGUCAAGUCAUGACACAUAUUCCUCAUCUCAGGAGGGUAAAUCAUACCAUUAGCAUGAUUUAUCAAACCAUCAUACUAAUUGGCAGGCUCAACUUCACAACAAAAGAAAAAUCAUCAGCUAGAUAAACUCCAAACCAACCAUUAACCGCACAACACACAACAUAAGCCUCAUGUCUCAUUAGCUAUGAAUUUAAUCCCCAGGACUGUACUUUUUACUCAUUUAGGCCACAAAUUUUAUUUAGUUUUCCUUUUUCCCCUUCAUCUUAAACAUGUGACAUGUUGUCAUGCAUUUCGCAAAAGAAGUUUGUUCUCAUGUAUUCAGAGAGUUGUGUAUCUGGGUGCAGGAUUCACUCGCACAUCACAACAGGAAACUCAGUGUUUUAGAGUCUCCACUCUAACAAACUCCAUCACAUCCCAUUCACUCGUGCUAGAAUUCAAUCACCUUUCAUUAGUCUAAGAACCAUCAACUAAUUUGCAUAUCAGUUAUUAACCCACUAAGAUGACAGGACAACAGAAAUGCAUGUUCAAAAUAUUAUCACAAAAAUAGAAUUUCCCCUCAUACAGUAAAAUAUUUUGUGCUGCAUCAAUCAGGCAGAAAGCAUCUCCCAAUUUACUAUAUUACCAACUAAAUUUAUUGUCUGAUCACUGGUUGGUCAAACCAGAAUCUUUUUUCCCACAAAAAUUAAACUGUUGUCCUGCAACAUAGUUAACUGUCAGCAUUGGAUAAAUUAAGCAUUUGAUAACAAGUGUCUGUUAAAUUUACACUAUUUUAACACUGAUGAGAGAUAACAAGCUGAUCUUCAUUGCAUGUGUGUUUGUUAUUAGGCAGGUUUAAUCAAUGUCUGUGGAGCUGCAUCUCCAGCAGGGCAUGUUCUUAAAGCUGCCUUUCCUACACACUUCUCUGCUAUUAUUUGAUCAUCAUUUUCAACUAAUGUGCUAUGAGUCCACUGAUCUUUGCAUCACACGAGGUGACUUGGACAAGAUGAUAAACAGACUCACAUGCUCAAGAUGGUGUCUAAUCUUCAUGAGCUCUCUUGUGUUUGUGUUAGUAGGGUUAAUGCAUGUUCUGCUUGUGUGUGUGAUUUUGUAUAUGUUUCUUUUUGCAGUGUUUCAGAUUCCUUCACAAUUUUCCACUUAAGCAGUCAGUUUUCUUUUCCCCAGGUUUGCUAACCCAAAUUUUGAUUUCCCACAUUAAACACCAGCUUUCCUCUGUGUCCUUACCUCCUCUCACUCUGUUGUCCUCUCCCACUUCAACAGUCCAACAGCCGGCAGUUCUUCUUCAGCUUUGUCCUGUGUCCCACGGUCUCUUCUUGCCAUUUUACUCCGAAAGUGGCAAAUGUCAAACCCCAACAGUCUCCUCAGUUCUCCUCAAACGUUCUUUUCACAAGCACAGUGACUUUGCAGCUUGUUGGAAACACAGUGUCAUUCAUCCAGUCAGGAUGAUGGUUUGCUCUUCUUCUCCGAUGCUGUUUGUCCACACUGCUGCUGCUUGCUGGGUCUCUUUGCUCAGGACUUUGCUGCUCUCUCACUCCUCCCUGAAGACAAGGAAUGCAGUUCCAAAGAGCAAUAACAUGGCAGAUAAAGAGACAGCAGCAAAGU
This is a long non-coding RNA of Oreochromis aureus, 3920 nucleotides long. NCBI's taxonomy places the organism in Eukaryota, Metazoa, Chordata, Actinopteri, Cichliformes, Cichlidae. The record is from Ensembl.